AAGAAUCCACUAAAUUUAUAUGGCUACAUUACCACGGAGACUAAAAGUGGUCUAAAAUAAAAAUAAUCAUCCAGAAAAUAAAUAGCAAAUUAAUAUUUGAGAAAUCUUGCAAUGACGAAGCAUUGCCGGGUCAGGUAGUACUGAAUAAUUGUAAUAUUUUGUAACAAAUAUGUCAUGUAAGAUGUGUCAUGUCAUGGAUAAGAUAAGAUUAUGGGUUCUAUAAAAUUGUUAUCAGACACAUAAUUGAUCUAAAAAAAAAAUAUGUACAAAAUUCCAAAAUUCUUUGAACUGUGCUCACACCUCCUUUGGGUGGAAAACUCUAAAAUACUUAAUUAUAUAAAAAUAAAAUGUAUUUAGAUUCUUUACAUGAU
Cinara cedri is the source of this 371-nucleotide non-coding RNA. NCBI's taxonomy places the organism in Eukaryota, Metazoa, Arthropoda, Insecta, Hemiptera, Aphididae. The record is from the annotation of a GenBank genome assembly.